AACGCUAGCUACAGGCUUAACACAUGCAAGUCGAGGGGAAACGACAGUAAAGCUUGCUUUAUUGGGCGUCGACCGGCGCACGGGUGCGUAACGCGUAUCCAACCUGCCCCCAACUCCGGAAUAGUCCCCCGAAAGGGGGUUAACGCCGGAUGCUGCAAUUUUUCCGCAUGGUGAAAUUGCGAAAUGAAAAAGGUUGGGGCUGGGGAUGCGUCCCAUUAGGUAGUAGGCGGGGUAACGGCCCACCUAGCCGACGAUGGGUAGGGGUUCUGAGAGGAAGGUCCCCCACAUUGGAACUGAGACACGGUCCAAACUCC
RNAcentral lists this ribosomal RNA (314 nucleotides) under uncultured Prevotellaceae bacterium. RNAcentral's name for it is "bacterial SSU rRNA". It matches the Rfam family "Bacterial small subunit ribosomal RNA", at positions 32 to 339 of the family's 1533-position model. The record is from RNAcentral. Lineage: Bacteria; Pseudomonadati; Bacteroidota; Bacteroidia; Bacteroidales; Prevotellaceae.